This 79-nucleotide small RNA is filed under the name Flavobacterium limicola. Its description in RNAcentral is "Flavo-1 RNA". It matches the Rfam family "Flavo-1 RNA". The record is from RNAcentral. Lineage: Bacteria; Pseudomonadati; Bacteroidota; Flavobacteriia; Flavobacteriales; Flavobacteriaceae.
CCCUAGCCCCGAUUAAAGUGAAAAUCCUUUUUAUUUUUAUUUAAAAAUAAAAAGAUUGCAACGGAAAGCGGGAAAUAGC